Molecule: ribosomal RNA, 676 nt
Filed under: Triticum aestivum (bread wheat)
Lineage: Eukaryota; Viridiplantae; Streptophyta; Magnoliopsida; Poales; Poaceae
Description: partial small subunit ribosomal RNA
Source: RNAcentral
AUGGGCCUCCCUGGGGCCCAUCCUGUUGGACCUACCCUCGGGUUGUCGGCCGAUGGGCCCCCAGGCGGGAUGCGGGCCGCUGACCGACGCGUGGGCCGGCCGCCCAGCCCCGCCGCGCGUGGUGUGGCCCAGCUGUGCCCCCUGGCGCGGUCUGGCCCGUCCCAGCGCUUGAUUUGGCCCCCUGUAGGGUUUCCCCGAGCCUCCCGUGCCCCGACCCCCGCUUCCCAUCCUGCUGCCUCGCAGGCCGCCUUCCUCGUCCCCUCCAGCCGCCGCGCCCCCUCGCCCCCGCCUCCGCCGCCGGCCAUGACCCGGGAGUGGGGCGACGCCGAAUCCCGCCCGAAGCGGCGCGCGGAUGACCGCCGCGACCCUCCGCGCUCCUCCCCCGACGGCCUCCGGCGGGAGGCUGACCUCCGGAGCCAGCUCACCUCCCGCCCGGCUCGCCGAUCCCCUGCCCGCGACUCCCGUGACCCCCGCCGCUCGCCUUCCCGCCAAUCCCGCCGCUCCCCGACGCGGGAUGACCGCCGCUCCCACUCGCCUGCGCGCCGGGAUCCGCCUCGGGAGGACUCUCGGGACCGGGGCAACUCGCCUGCGCGGCGUUCCCCUGCCCGAGGCCGGUCUCCGACCCGGCGCUCGCCGGCCCGCGAUGGCCGUGGCUACCGCCGGCCCUCUCCUCCGC